Small nucleolar RNA from Gossypium raimondii (Peruvian cotton), 107 nucleotides. It matches the Rfam family "Plant small nucleolar RNA R71". From Rfam's summary of the family: R71 is a member of the C/D box family of snoRNAs containing the C (UGAUGA) and D (CUGA) box motifs. The record is from Rfam. NCBI's taxonomy places the organism in Eukaryota, Viridiplantae, Streptophyta, Magnoliopsida, Malvales, Malvaceae.
AAUCCAUGGUGUGGGCAUUUCUGGUUCAACGUUUUAAAGCAUUCUCAAGCUUCCUAUAAACUUUCUGCUUCCAUUUGUUUGAACGUUGCAAUCUCCCUCCUUAGUUG